Molecule: unclassified non-coding RNA, 297 nt
Filed under: fungal sp.
Lineage: Eukaryota; Fungi
Description: partial internal transcribed spacer region
Rfam family: Eukaryotic small subunit ribosomal RNA (bases 1-46)
Source: RNAcentral
AAGUCGUAACAAGGUUUCCGUAGGUGAACCUGCGGAAGGAUCAUUAAUGAAAUGAUAAUUUUUUUGGGGUUUUUAAUCUCAAAAAAUAAUUCACCUUUUGUGCAUUGUUAUUAGAUAUACUUUGGUUAGAGCUUUGAUUUCAUUUAUUGGGAUCAACUUCUUGCUGACUCUAUCCUUUCCGAGGACAGUUGGCUAUGAAGCGGCCUACCAAGGUUUUUUAUCAAACUCUUGUAUUUUUGUCUGACCUAAACUAUUAUAAUUAAAUCAUAACUUUCAACAACGGAUCUCUUGGCUCUC